CCCUUCCUUGUCAUGGGGAGCUAAAUGUCCAGUGAACGGUUAGUGAGGGCAUAUUUGCUGACACCAUACAAAUUAACCCCGCAUCCACUUCUGUGAGGUGCAAUUUUUGGAAGC
Small nuclear RNA from Neocloeon triangulifer, 114 nucleotides. RefSeq annotates it as U4atac minor spliceosomal RNA. The transcript has a single exon. The record is from RefSeq and is a predicted model, not a curated record. Lineage: Eukaryota; Metazoa; Arthropoda; Insecta; Ephemeroptera; Baetidae.